This 253-nucleotide ribosomal RNA is filed under the name uncultured bacterium. RNAcentral's name for it is "partial 16S ribosomal RNA". It matches the Rfam family "Bacterial small subunit ribosomal RNA", at positions 524 to 776 of the family's 1533-position model. The record is from RNAcentral.
UACGUAGGGUGCGAGCGUUAAUCGGAAUUACUGGGCGUAAAGCGUGCGCAGGCGGUUCGCCAAGUCCGAUGUGAAAGCCCCGGGCUCAACCUGGGAAUGGCAUUGGAAACUGGCGAGCUUGAGUGUGGCAGAGGGGGGUGGAAUUCCGCGUGUAGCAGUGAAAUGCGUAGAGAUGCGGAGGAACACCGAUGGCGAAGGCAGCCCCCUGGGCUGACACUGACGCUCAGGCACGAAAGCGUGGGGAGCAAACAGG